GAUGAACGCUGGCGGCGUGCCUAAUACAUGCAAGUCGAGCGAACGGACGAGAAGCUUGCUUCUCUGAUGUUAGCGGCGGACGGGUGAGUAACACGUGGAUAACCUACCUAUAAGACUGGGAUAACUUCGGGAAACCGGAGCUAAUACCGGAUAAUAUUUUGAACCGCAUGGUUCAAAAGUAAAAGACGGUCUUGCUGUCACUUAUAGAUGGAUCCGCGCUGCAUUAGCUAGUUGGUAAGGUAACGGCUUACCAAGGCAACGAUGCAUAGCCGACCUGAGAGGGUGAUCGGCCACACUGGAACUGAGACACGGUCCAGACUCCUACGGGAGGCAGCAGUAGGGAAUCUUCCGCAAUGGGCGAAAGCCUGACGGAGCAACGCCGCGUGAGUGAUGAAGGUCUUCGGAUCGUAAAACUCUGUUAUUAGGGAAGAAUAUAUGUGUAAGUAACUGUGCACAUCUUGACGGUACCUAAUCAGAAAGCCACGGCUAACUACGUGCCAGCAGCCGCGGUAAUACGUAGGUGGCAAGCGUUAUCCGGAAUUAUUGGGCGUAAAGCGCGCGUAGGCGGUUUUUUAAGUCUGAUGUGAAAGCCCACGGCUCAACCGUGGAGGGUCAUUGGAAACUGGAAAACUUGAGUGCAGAAGAGGAAAGUGGAAUUCCGUGUGUAGCGGUGAAAUGCGCAGAGAUAUGGAGGAACACCAGUGGCGAAGGCGACUUUCUGGUCUGUAACUGACGCUGAUGUGCGAAAGCGUGGGGAUCAAACAGGAUUAGAUACCCUGGUAGUCCACGCCGUAAACGAUGAGUGCUAAGUGUUAGGGGGUUUCCGCCCCUUAGUGCUGCAGCUAACGCAUUAAGCACUCCGCCUGGGGAGUACGACCGCAAGGUUGAAACUCAAAGGAAUUGACGGGGACCCGCACAAGCGGUGGAGCAUGUGGUUUAAUUCGAAGCAACGCGAAGAACCUUACCAAAUCUUGACAUCCUUUGACAACUCUAGAGAUAGAGCCUUCCCCUUCGGGGGACAAAGUGACAGGUGGUGCAUGGUUGUCGUCAGCUCGUGUCGUGAGAUGUUGGGUUAAGUCCCGCAACGAGCGCAACCCUUAAGCUUAGUUGCCAUCAUUAAGUUGGGCACUCUAAGUUGACUGCCGGUGACAAACCGGAGGAAGGUGGGGAUGACGUCAAAUCAUCAUGCCCCUUAUGAUUUGGGCUACACACGUGCUACAAUGGACAAUACAAAGGGCAGCGAAACCGCGAGGUCAAGCAAAUCCCAUAAAGUUGUUCUCAGUUCGGAUUGUAGUCUGCAACUCGACUACAUGAAGCUGGAAUCGCUAGUAAUCGUAGAUCAGCAUGCUACGGUGAAUACGUUCCCGGGUCU
RNAcentral lists this ribosomal RNA (1372 nucleotides) under uncultured bacterium. Its description in RNAcentral is "bacterial SSU rRNA". It matches the Rfam family "Bacterial small subunit ribosomal RNA", at positions 28 to 1381 of the family's 1533-position model. The record is from RNAcentral.